RNAcentral lists this ribosomal RNA (704 nucleotides) under Rhodococcus (subgen. Prescottella) equi. RNAcentral's name for it is "Prescottella equi bacterial SSU rRNA". It matches the Rfam family "Bacterial small subunit ribosomal RNA", at positions 59 to 778 of the family's 1533-position model. Lineage: Bacteria; Bacillati; Actinomycetota; Actinomycetes; Mycobacteriales; Nocardiaceae. The record is from RNAcentral.
CAGUCGAACGGUAAGGCCCCUUCGGGGGUACACGAGUGGCGAACGGGUGAGUAACACGUGGGUGAUCUGCCCUGCACUCUGGGAUAAGCCUGGGAAACUGGGUCUAAUACCGGAUAUGAGCUCCUGUCGCAUGGCGGGGGUUGGAAAGGUUUACUGGUGCAGGAUGGGCCCGCGGCCUAUCAGCUUGUUGGUGGGGUAAUGGCCUACCAAGGCGACGACGGGUAGCCGGCCUGAGAGGGCGACCGGCCACACUGGGACUGAGACACGGCCCAGACUCCUACGGGAGGCAGCAGUGGGGAAUAUUGCACAAUGGGCGAAAGCCUGAUGCAGCGACGCCGCGUGAGGGAUGACGGCCUUCGGGUUGUAAACCUCUUUCAGCAGGGACGAAGCGAGAGUGACGGUACCUGCAGAAGAAGCACCGGCCAACUACGUGCCAGCAGCCGCGGUAAUACGUAGGGUGCGAGCGUUGUCCGGAAUUACUGGGCGUAAAGAGCUCGUAGGCGGUUUGUCGCGUCGUCCGUGAAAACUUGGGGCUCAACCCCAAGCUUGCGGGCGAUACGGGCAGACUUGAGUACUGCAGGGGAGACUGGAAUUCCUGGUGUAGCGGUGAAAUGCGCAGAUAUCAGGAGGAACACCGGUGGCGAAGGCGGGUCUCUGGGCAGUAACUGACGCUGAGGAGCGAAAGCGUGGGUAGCGAACAGGAU